Long non-coding RNA from Pleuronectes platessa (European plaice), 1248 nucleotides. RefSeq lists it as uncharacterized. The record is from RefSeq and is a predicted model, not a curated record. The transcript is spliced from 3 exons. Lineage: Eukaryota; Metazoa; Chordata; Actinopteri; Pleuronectiformes; Pleuronectidae.
UGAAUUGAGUCAGUGGAUGCGAGACGAUGGUGAGAGUCUGUGUGUGUGUCUUUGGAGUGUGUCAGUGAACAGUUAAACAGAGGGAGCGAUAUUCGCGCUCUCUCCAUCCUCGGGUGACAAGCUGUUUCCAAACAUUUUACGCGCAGCUGCUGCUCCGACGCACGUUCAGAGAGCGUCCACCCUCCGGACAGAAAGUUGUACACAACAUGCUGCACUGAGUGGGACCUGUGAUAUGAAAAAUAUGCCUGACCAUUCAUAUGGUGCUGUGUUCCAGGGACCAAAGGCUGGGCGUCGCCAGGGGAACCUCAUCCUCUCCGAAGCUUCCAGGAAGCUGCGGAGCACGUAGCUCAGAAGUUGCUGCGCCUGACAGCGAGUCCUCGAACGAACCUCCUGGGACUUGGAGUUCUCGUUUAAUUAAGGGAGGAAAUUCUUUCUUAAAAUGCAAGAAAGUCGUGCAGUCACUACACACCAGAAGAUCUUUCAAAAAUUCGCUUUAUUUAUUAUAGGACUUUUUUCACUGCACGCUCAGUCACCAGUGUGCAAAUAGAACUGUGGAGCUGCAGCUGAGGACUGGAGCUCCUGUAAUAUUGUCUUUUUGUUUGAAGAUAGAAGAUUCCCUGCUGCGGCGGCUUCCUCUUGGAUUAUCAGGUCACUGGUGAAUGUCAGUGCUCCGUCACUUUCCCUCGCUUGGUCUUUGAUCCAGGGCCAUCUCCCUGCUGCUCCUAUAUCUUUCCCAUUUCAUCCGCAGCUGACGUUUAGGUUUAAGUGGUAUUAAGUAUUAACCUUCGGGAAAUCCUCUUUUUUUCCCACUGGAAUAUACUCAAGCCAAAACUUUAACCAGCCCUGUCGGCACGAUGUGGUGAGGAAGAAGAGAGAGAGAGGAACAGAGGGGAUUGAAGGGCAGAUGGCUUCACUGCUCCAAAACACCAACAGCUGUAUGAAUAAAACAUUUGAAUAGAGAGAGUCGUGACUUCUGGGUGAGGAGUGUUAGACACCCUCCUUAUACCCUCUCUCUUUCUUUUGCCCUAUUCUGUCCUCUCUCCUCACUAGCAUUCGUAUCCUCUUCAUCCCUACACACCUCCCCUGCUCCCUCUUGUCUCUUUUCCCCUGUGAAUUUAAGAGUUCAGGUGGUCACUCAAACAGACAGAAACAAGCUUGUGCCUCCACUUGUUUCAUCUUCUCUCGCCGAGUUUAGUUCCGCCUCUGUGUGUCCACUCUCUCACUCGACCCGUCCCUCCUGCGGCACCU